Pelobates cultripes (western spadefoot toad) is the source of this 952-nucleotide non-coding RNA. NCBI's taxonomy places the organism in Eukaryota, Metazoa, Chordata, Amphibia, Anura, Pelobatidae. The record is from the annotation of a GenBank genome assembly.
CACGAAUGGCACCCGACAGGGAUGCCCUUUGUCACCUCUGUUGUAUGUACUGGCCUUGGAGCCGCUACUAGUUGCCAUUAGAUCACACCCAGACAUAAAAGGCAUCACCUGGCAAGACCAGCACAUCAAAAUCAGCGCAUUCGCUGACGAUAUCCUACUAUAUGUCUGCCAACCAGAUAAGUCCCUCCCUCACAUCAUGAAGCUCAUUGACAAAUAUGGGAAACUCUCCUACUAUUCCCUAAACGCAACUAAAACCCAGGCAUUGGGGCUGCGCUUGGACCCACAGGUCCUAGCGCAACUACGCAAAGAUUACCAAUUCGAGUGGAGAAAAAAUGAUAUAAAAUACCUAGGCCUGACGUUCACUAGGAAAUCCUCUGACAUGUUCCCUACCAAUUAUACCAGAGUCUGGACUGAAUGCUUGGCCCUGUUACGGGGUUGGGGCAAACUGUUCCUUACCUGGACGGAGCGCAUUGUCGCAAUUAAAAUGACCGUAUUACCGAAACUACAAUAUGUGUUUAGGAACCUCCCCUUGAAAGUUCCACAAUCCUAUUUUAAAACCAUACAGUCUACGCUCCUCCAGUUUAUCUGGGGCAAGGGACGGGCAAGGGUCUCCAACAAACUAUUGUCGGCACCCAUAGGGCGUGGAGGUAUGGCAUUCCCGAACGUAAAACACUACUACCAGGCUGCGGUCCUAGCGCCCCUAUUGAACCACCUAACUAAAGAUAACCGACCACAAUGGGUGACCCUAGAAAACCUAGCUAUUAAACCUUUCCUAGUCGCCAACCUGCUAUGGCUACCUAACAAGAGCAGACCACAUAUUCCGCUGAUACCGUUACAACUUCACCUAGCACUGCAAACUUGGGACUUACAUAGAACGAAAUUCGAAACGGCCCACCCCCUCUCAAUGGCGACACCCAUCGAGGCCAUCACGUAUUGCAUCCCCACCUUCCAU